CCUACGGGAGGCAGCAGUGAGGAAUAUUGGUCAAUGGUCGAAAGCCUGAACCAGCCAAGUCGCGUGAAGGAAGACGGUCCUAUGGAUUGUAAACUGCUUUUGUCGGGGAGCAAAAUGCGGUACGUGUACCGCAUCGAGAGUACCCCGUGAAUAAGCACCGGCUAACUCCGUGCCAGCAGCCGCGGUAAUACGGAGGGUGCGGGCGUUAUCCGGAUUUCUUGGGGUUAAAGGGUGCGUAGGCGGGAAGUCAAGUCUGCCGUGAAAAUUAGAGGGUCAACCUCGUCCGAGCGGUGGAAACUGGUUUUCUUGAGUGAGCGAGAGGUAUGCGGAAUGCGUGGUGUAGCGGUGAAAUGCUUAGAUAUCACGAAGAACUCCGAUUGCGAAGGCAGCAUACGGGGGCUCAACUGACGCUGAGGCGCGAAAGCGUGGGGAGCAAACAGGAUUAGAUACCCGAGUAGUC
This 460-nucleotide ribosomal RNA is filed under the name uncultured bacterium. RNAcentral describes it as "partial 16S ribosomal RNA". It matches the Rfam family "Bacterial small subunit ribosomal RNA", at positions 338 to 795 of the family's 1533-position model. The record is from RNAcentral.